UACGGGGGGAGCAAGCGUUGUUCGGAUUUACUGGGCGUAAAGGGCGCGUAGGCGGCCAGCGCAAGUCAGUUGUGAAAUCUCCGGGCUUAACUCGGAAAGGUCAACUGAUACUGCGCGGCUAGAGUGCAGAAGGGGCAACUGGAAUUCUCGGUGUAGCGGUGAAAUGCGUAGAUAUCGAGAGGAACACCUGCGGCGAAGGCGGGUUGCUGGGCUGACACUGACGCUGAGGCGCGAAAGCUAGGGGAGCAAACAGG
This 254-nucleotide ribosomal RNA is filed under the name uncultured bacterium. Its description in RNAcentral is "partial 16S ribosomal RNA". It matches the Rfam family "Bacterial small subunit ribosomal RNA", at positions 524 to 776 of the family's 1533-position model. The record is from RNAcentral.